This is a ribosomal RNA of Danio rerio (zebrafish), 117 nucleotides long. Lineage: Eukaryota; Metazoa; Chordata; Actinopteri; Cypriniformes; Danionidae. The record is from Ensembl.
UGUCACAGCCAUAUAACCCUGCAACCGAAGAGCGGUGACUCACUGAAGCGAAGCGUGGCUGAGUCUGGUCAGUACCUGGAUGGGAAAUCAUAGGGGAAAACUAGGUUGCUGUUGGAA